This 5226-nucleotide long non-coding RNA is filed under the name Pan troglodytes (chimpanzee). Its description in RNAcentral is "long non-coding RNA NONPTRT012422". The record is from RNAcentral. Lineage: Eukaryota; Metazoa; Chordata; Mammalia; Primates; Hominidae.
GUUUUAUUGGAAACAUGGCACCAAUAGACUGGCUCAACGCAGAGUUGCCAUAAACCUUCCAUUUGUAAAAAAUGCAUUAUCUGCAAAGUGCAAUAAAGCAAAACGCAAUAAAAUGACAUACGCCUGUAUCUGUAUCGAUAGGAGGAACAUUGCCAUUUUCUUCUACAUGACAUAAAAUUGUACUAAAAGGCACUAGUAUGUGCCUUUCUGGGUGGCAGGCCUCCAAUCUCAUGAUGUUUUAACAAAGCAAAGUAGAUAUACUUACAGAUUCAAAUUUUGACUACUGAAUAACUCAUUUCAAAAAGAAAAUUCAGCUCAAUAAAAUUCAGUAUCUGUCUAAAACUAUUUGUCAGGGUAAUAAGUUCAUGGGAGGUCCAAAGACAAAGUAUGUAGUCCUAUUCUAUACUAAAGUAAACCUGGAUUGAGAUUUAUAAUAAAAAUCACAACACAACAGUAUUACUUGGUAAAGUCCUCAAAGUAGAUUUUAUUUAUACAUUUCUUCAAAUGAUUGUGGUAUUUUAAAAAAUCUCUCCCAAAUUUGACGACAUAGGGACAGUGGUGAGAACAAAGUAUCCCUAAAGGAAACAAAUAUCGAUUGGUGCUUUCCUAGCUCACUGAGCUAACACUCAGAAGCCAAUUUAUUCUAUAAUCCUAAAGAACCUUAAAUGUGGGUUUGUUUGAAUUGGCCUUCUGAGAAUCGUUGAAAUAAAGGAUAUAUUACGGAAAAGAGAUUAGUUUCCAAAAAUGUGCUGUCUUUGAAAAUAAGUCUUCAGACAUGUGUGUCGGAAAAGAUCUGCAAAGCUUGGUACAGUGUUAAUGUGUAAAGAGAACCAAUCACCUCCAUGGACUUUAAAACUCAAAAUUAUCUAUGAAAUACUUUAAAUGACAUGGCAUUACCAACAUUCUUUAAAGCAUUUCAUUUAAAAGAAAACUGUAAGACUGUUCUCACCCUUUUGAAAAGACCUAAUCCCUUUCUAAAACAAAAGUAUAAUUUGCAAGAGAAACAACAUUACAAUUCACUGGUAAAUUAAGAUUUCUGAAGUUGUAAGAAAUGGGGCCAAAACAAGUCACGCUCAAAAAGGGAUGGUUAACACAAGAAAUGUGCUAUGAGUAAAGUGCAUGAAAGAAAGCCUGCUCAGCUAAAUGAAGUAGACAAAGGUCAGAAGUCAAGGGUCAUUCGCCAGAGCGGCAGCAGGCUCGAAAACCACACUGCAAAUUCUGGCAUCCACUGGCGGUAUCAGCAUGAGGACCUGUAUGAAAACAGAAAAAUGUGAAAGGAGGAAUUUCUUAGAGAUCACAUAAAAAUAAUUUUGCUUAUGAAGGAGUUAAACAUUCAUUGGUUUUACUAGCAGUACUUAUAUGAUAGAAGUAAAUCUCAUGAUGAGUGUAUAAGAAAUUAUUCAGACACAAAACUCAAUAGCAGCUUGACUUUAAUUAAUAUAUCCUUCAUGGUCCAAAAGGUAAGUGGAAGAAGGGAAAAAAAUAAUUUUUAGCAACAACUUACAAUAUAAAAAUCCAAAAUGGAAAUGAGACAAUCCACAGAAGCAAGAUUGCAAAGCUAACUUAUAAAAAGAUUCUUAUAAUCUGAACAUCCUCCCUAGAAACGUAAUAAAGGCAAAAAACAGCCCUAACUAUAAUCGAUCAGCUAAAGAAGUCAGUAUUGAGCAAUUACAAUAAAUAUGAUAUUCAAAUUUUAAAGCAAAAUAAACUAUAUAGACAUAGAUAUAUUUGCCAUAUUUUUAUUUAGUAUUUGUAGCCAAAAAUAUCUAUAUAUGGUAGGGUUAGAUGAAAUUAUUUUCCAAAAUUAAAUAUAUAAUGAGUGAUCAAUUAAACUGUAUCUAAGACAUAGUAAAAAUUAUCAUUCACUUACAAAGAAUAAAAAAAAAUUUGUGGAAUAACUGACAUUUUAUCCCAGUCACACUAUGCUACCCAGGCACUAGAUACAAGACCCAUUAGGGAACAUAGCUGAGAAUUAGAAAAUAUCAAAGAAGAAGUUUCAUAGCACAUAUUCAAAUGUCAAGUACUCUGAAUGAAUAUUUUCAUAAAAGCAGGCAAAUGUGGAAAAGACUGUUUCAACUAUAUUGAAGUCUUUCAUUAUGUUUAUACCAUGAACAAAUAAGGAGUAGUUAAUUUGUUCUUUACAUAUCAACAAGAACAACCAAAAUACUUGCAAUUGUGAUAUAAGGAACAAUACAAAAUGAAAACUGUACAUGAAAUAUAAUUUUACGGCAGAAUAUAUCAAAUGGAUUGUAACUGAAAAAUCACAGUACUCUGGGGUGAUAUCUAGCUUAACUCAAAAACACGUUUUAAAUUUACUUUUUAUUUUCUAAAACAGCACUCAGCUGAAAAAAAAAAAAAAAGCAACUAAGCUAAUACUACCAUAAUAAUUACUUCCAACUAAACACAUAGAACACAUUAAUUUCCAGAAAUUUAACUUUUCCUUAUAUUCCCCAAAUGGCACAUACAAAAUACAAAGGGCAAAUUUCUUAAGACAUACAGUCUUAGGAAAGAAACUAAUAAACAUUACGCAAAUAUGUGGAACUACAACAGCUUAUGCUUUCAGUCAUAUUAAAUUUUUAAGUUGAUAUGACACCUGUGAUUAGCUUAAUGGGGGAGUAGAUAUGGGAAUGAGCAAUGGUAUAGAUGAAAGGAGACUGCCCACAGGUUUAUAACUGCUGAAGCUGAUGGUACAUGAGGAUUCGUUGUAUUAUUCGAUGUUAAAUUUUUCCAUAACAGGAAGUUUAAAAUUAUUUUAAAUAUAAAGUUGAAUUACUAAAGCCAAUUUUUAUUUAAUCAAAAUAACAAUCUUUUCUGGUCUUUAAAUGAGAAGUUAAAUAUGUUAAAUAUUUAACAUUCACAAAGCAGCAUUUUGUUAAAAUUAUUUUCCCUUAAAAUAAGAUACAAUGUUAAUCAUCUUAAUGACAAACUCAAGAUAAAAUGUUUUAGUAUAUAUUGAAUACUUAUUAAAAAUGCCCUGAGAAGCAACCCUAUGAUCUGAAAUUCUUCUCCCACUGCCAAUCUUUAACCAAGUUUUUCCUUUGAAUAUAAUGCCAGCUUUACCCACUGUGUACCACCCAAUCCCCAUUAUUCCCCUUCUUAGCUUGUCUUUCCUCACCCCUUACACUGCCCACUGUUUUGUCUACCAAUCACCUAGCGCCUCUCCUCAAGACACAAGCCCUGCCUCACUGCCAUUCUCCUGCUCUGACCCUUAGGUCCAUCAUGAAAUGCCAGAUUCACUGGGUUUUGCCAAAAAUGGAUCUGAUUAUCAUUUUAUCAGAUUAAAAUUCCAUUCUAAAUUUUUUUAAAGAAAUAAGAAGAGACAUGAAGACUCUCAUACAAUUUUUCCAAACUGCAACUCCCUCAAAUACUUCAAAAUGUCUAUACCAUUAAGUCCUCACUUAACAUCGAUAGGUUCUUAGAAACUGCGACUCUAAGCAAAAUAACGUAUAACAAAGGUAGUUGUUUUGUUUGCAUCAUUAUAAUGAACUGACACUAUUUGAGGACUUCCUGUAUGUUUUCUUUAAAGUCAGUUUCCAAAAACAUACCACCGACACUGAGGACUUACUAUAGUCCUAUUUUUUUAAAAGGACAGAAAGGUAAGGGAGAAAUAUUAUGCUAAAUUUCAACAGUAGCCUAAGAAAAAUCAUAUGCCAUAUCUGGAAGCAAUGGAAGUGAAGUAUGCAAUUGGUUUUCAAAGGAUAAAGUAAAAGGGAGACUCAAAGGAGCCAACAGAUCAAAAAAGCUAUUCUCCUAGAGAUUCAGAUCUAACCUGACAUGACACAGUUUUUCACCACCCUCCCCAAAAGAUGUAGGGUCCACAUGCUCAGUUUCCACCCUAGCUACCUGGGUCAUUAUGCUCCUGAAGUCUAAGGGAUGGUGGCAGAGAUAAUGGGGGAAGAAAAAUGUAGAAAUAAAAGUUUUUACCCUGUAUUAGGUAAAAAGCACAAACCUACUGUCAGCAUCUCCUUAUUUAUCACAAAACAAAGUUCCUACCUAUAUUCAUAUAAAAUGUGCCUACUCAGUGAGUAGGCACAUUUUAUAUGAAUAUAGGCAAGAACUCUGAAUACAUUUUAAGUUCACCAGAAUUGAGUUUCAGUGAGAUUCUAAGUGUACAGAGUGAAGAAAGAGAAUUAAUAUAUUGUUUUCAAAUUUGAAAGCAGAAUCUGUUUAAAGAAACCUAUAUGAACUUAAUCAGUAACUAUAGUAUUAAAUGACUCAAAACUACAAUCCUAUGAUAAGGUAAAUAAUAGAGUAGUUACUGGUAUUUGAUCCCAAUAAUCAUGAAAGUGACAGCAUCCAUUAAAGGAUCUGCUGAAGGCCUGAGCCAAAACAAAAAUGAAGACAAGCACUGUUUUAAACUCAGUAUCACAUUGUAGAAAACAGGAGACUAGCACCUUCCAAAGCACGGAAAGUAUAAGCAACAUUAACAAUAAAAUCCUUAAGUAACACAGAAGGACUGUUCAGAGAAGUGAAUAAAUGGACAACAGAAUAAAUGGACAACAGAAAAGGUGAGGGAAAAUUAGAAAAAAAUAUGACUAAGAUAUGAUGGAUUGCCAGGUAGACAGCUAUGCUUUAAUAGACAAAGAUAAUUCACAAGGUAGUUCCCUUUAAAUAUUUGACUUAUCACCAGCAAACUUCCAUCUCGAUGUAGGACACAGAACCCAAAUGGUUAAGAUAUCUAAAGCCUAAAUUACAUUAAGGAAUAAUAAAGAAAAUAGAAAAAUAUAAUUGAAUAAUCAUUAAAAUAUUUAAAUGCAUGGUAAAGAAUAAUCUUAUAAGAAAGCAUUUUUAAGUAUCAGAUGAUAGGAAGUAUAAGGUUAGCUAUUAUUUCUCCAGACUUUUAUUACUGAAUAACUUGUUUUUACUGAGUUCUAAGUAUAUUACUUAUGCUGUAUAUCUGCACUUACCUUCACUUACCUUUAAUUCCUCUUUAACUUAAAUUAGAAACAUAAAAGAGCACAUCAUCAGAGACUGAGUCACCUCCAAAACUAUGAGCUAAUCUAUCUUAAUUUAUAAAUUAUACAUACAUUGAAAUGCAAAUCAGUAAAAAAGUUUAUUUGCUAUCAUUGCUCAAAUGUUCUUCACAGCUCUACAACUAUGCUAUUCCAUUUAACACUUCUUAAAUGUUAAAGAAUUUUUUUAAUGUUAUGGCUAAGAAGACUUUUCAAAUCUUAUCAAAUAAAUUUAAAAGUCAUAAAGAAUCAUUCAGAAGAAUCUAGACUUGCA